UUGAAAGUUAUGACGGAAAAAUUUUCCGAAACUCCUCUCCCCAUCCCUCAGAAAAUUCCUCUAUAUACUCUGAAUCCACAGCAUCCAAGAGGUAUUUGUUGAACAUUUCGUUGAAAAGUAUCCAUUUUCCUGGAAGUUGCAAGGCAACAAAGUCGGGUGGGGGUACACAUCUGUAGUUAUACCACAACCGGUAUAUCAGCUAAGCAAAUGGUCUUUUCUAAAUGCAUGAAAAAGCUAUAACACAUUCAGAACAUUAUUUCAGAAAAUUCAGCACCAAGUGCCUCAGUUGGUGGCAUACCACAAGGUUCAGUGGAACCUACUGAAGCAAGCCGACACCCCGGCAACAUUACUACGGGUGGAUGGCGAGGGUAGGACGCCAAGAACAGCUAAGCACGCUCACGAGUCUCCCCUGAUACCUCGAUAAGGUGAGCCGCCAACGAUGACAAGAACUUCGUUGUUAGUGGCCCAGCCCCUCCAAACGCCUCAAACGUCAAAUAUUGCAAAUGAUUCACUGACAAGGCCCGAUACUUUAAGGAUUUUGUUCCGUUCGGCUACGGAAGCAGUGACCCUCCCAUUGGACGAGGAAGUGAAACAAACUGGCCACUGCCGGGUGAUAGGUUCAUGGUGCACCUCAGAGAUAGAUGACAUGGGACCCUAAUAUUUGCCCUCUUGACUCGUCAUGAAAUGUGGAAGCAAUUAUUUAUGAAGCAGAGAUCACAUCUGUAGGAACCAACCUACUAGAAACACAUAGAUAUUACAAAGACAUGGGAGAAGAAAACUCUAAACAUAAUUUUAUA
Molecule: long non-coding RNA, 797 nt
Organism: Octopus sinensis (East Asian common octopus)
Lineage: Eukaryota; Metazoa; Mollusca; Cephalopoda; Octopoda; Octopodidae
Exons: 3
Source: RefSeq, a predicted model, not a curated record